Molecule: long non-coding RNA, 407 nt
Organism: Centruroides sculpturatus (bark scorpion)
Lineage: Eukaryota; Metazoa; Arthropoda; Arachnida; Scorpiones; Buthidae
Exons: 3
Source: RefSeq, a predicted model, not a curated record
AUAUAUUGAUCCAAAGAUGAAGUUAUCGGCCAUUUUCUGCUGGUAAGAAGACAAAAAUUAUAAUUUCCUUUACUUGUUUUUUCAUAAAUUCUAGCUAAUUCUAAGCAAUUAUGCAAGACUGAUGCUGUUUUAUAAAAUAUAAUACUCCUUCUACCCCUGUGUUUCUGUAGGCCCAACGAAGCGAAUCUAAAAGCUAUUGCAGCAAGUAGUGACACUGGAUUAAUUACAGUUACUGAAGGAAGAAAUGUACAAAAAAGAGAUGUGUAUGCAAUGGCUAUCGGUGCAUUAACUUUACUUGGUAACGUUUUAUUCACGAUUGCAAAAAGUAUCCUUCAUAAAUUCUAACAACAAUGUAAAAGAUGAUGAAUAUGAAACAGAGUUAAUAAAUUUUCAUUUAAUAACGUACA